Camellia sinensis is the source of this 453-nucleotide non-coding RNA. Lineage: Eukaryota; Viridiplantae; Streptophyta; Magnoliopsida; Ericales; Theaceae. The record is from RefSeq and is a predicted model, not a curated record.
AUUUUUUUUUUUUUUUGGAGGGGGGUCUAUUGCUUUAUUUCCAGAAUGAUGUUCUGGCUUUGGAUUCUUCAGCCCUAGACAUUGAUCAAGUAGAAAAUCUCAUUAAAUUUUGUCAUACAAAAGAAGAAAUGACAAUGCUGAAGAACUACAAUGGGACCAACGAUAUGCUUGGAAUGUGUGAACAGUUUUUCUGGAGUUGAUGAAUAUCCCGCGAGUGGAGUCCAAAUUACGAGUAUUUGCGUUCAGAAUUAUUUUUUCCAGUCAGGUGAGUGACUUAAGAUGCAACCUGAACACAAUUAAUGCUGCUGCUAGAGAGGUAAAAGAAUCUGCAAAAUUGUGUCAAGUAAUGCAGAUGAUUCUCACUUUAGGAAAUGCAUUGAACCAAGGCACUACUCGAGGAAUUAUUCUGUGAGAUUGAAGUUUGUUAUGAUCUAUAUGAGAUAUUUUGUUUAG